RNAcentral lists this transfer RNA (91 nucleotides) under Bacillus subtilis subsp. subtilis str. BSP1. RNAcentral describes it as "tRNA-Ser". Lineage: Bacteria; Bacillati; Bacillota; Bacilli; Caryophanales; Bacillaceae. The record is from RNAcentral.
AUGUACAGCAUGCCAGAUGCAUGGAAUCUGCUGAUGUCCAAGCUUGCCGACAUGAUCAUCGUGUACGUGAAAGCGCAGAUUAAGGCAGGCG